Molecule: non-coding RNA, 135 nt
Organism: Triticum aestivum (bread wheat)
Lineage: Eukaryota; Viridiplantae; Streptophyta; Magnoliopsida; Poales; Poaceae
Source: Rfam
GAUUUACUCCCUCCGUCCCAAAAUUCUUGUCUUAGAUUUGUCUAAAUACGGAUGUAUCAAGUCACGUUUUAGUAUUAGAUACAUCCGUAUCUAGGCAAAUCUAAGACAAGAAUUUUGGGACGGAGGGAAUAGAAC